GAAAGCUAAGACUUACUCAAUGAUGUAAGUGGUGGUGCAUGGCCGUUCGUAGUUCGUGGAUUGAUUUGUCUGGUCUAUUCCGAUAACGAGCGAGACCCUGACGUUCCUAAUAGGGGCAGCAGCCCGGCUGGCCGCAAGGCCGGUUAGCUGCUGCCUUAGUUAGCUUCUUAGACGUAUCAGAGCCGAUAAGGUUCUUGAAAUGGGUUAAUAACAGGUCGACUGGCCUGUAAAAGUCAGCCCGUACGCUUCGGUGUGUGGGCUGGCUAGUGGGGCUUGCUGCGUUGGCUUUGGGGAGAGCCAGCGGGGCAUGCUCUGCAACACCUUCAAAUCGCGGGGACACCCUAAUGCUAGUGCUACCAACCACUGGUCGAAAGACGUCAAAAUGCAAGGCUCUCCCUUCUGGCCAAGGGGAGCUGCGCAUGUGGGGCCGGGCUAAUCACCUGGGGACGGUAAUAACGCACUUAGAUGACCGCCGACUUGGGCCCUGAUGCUCCCCCCCCUUCCUUGGCCA
Molecule: ribosomal RNA, 511 nt
Filed under: Fuligo septica var. flava
Lineage: Eukaryota; Evosea; Eumycetozoa; Physariida; Physaraceae
Description: partial small subunit ribosomal RNA
Rfam family: Eukaryotic small subunit ribosomal RNA (bases 1-226)
Source: RNAcentral